Non-coding RNA from Nylanderia fulva, 592 nucleotides. Lineage: Eukaryota; Metazoa; Arthropoda; Insecta; Hymenoptera; Formicidae. The record is from RefSeq and is a predicted model, not a curated record.
UUUUUCCAGGUAACCCGGUGGUGUCCAUUCUGGAUGCCAUAUUUACGGCAUCGCCCCAAAUAUCGUACAAGGGUUUUUGAGCUCCCACAACACCGGCUGUCACUUCUCCGUGAGAAAUUCCGAUCCUCAAUCUGAAAGAUCACGAACAUGUUCGAAACUUUACUAGACUCCUGCAUCGUUCGCUUUCGCGAGAUGACACAAGGUGCAUUUUGGACCAUUAUUUACCGAGAUCAAUGCAGCUUUUGGCGUGCUGGGAAUUCGGCGUGGGUACACCGCUCACGCAGUAGUAACAGUCACCCAAAAAUUUGAUUCUCAACACGUUGUGCCUCUCCGAUGCUUCGUCGAAGCUCCCGAACAGAUCAUUCAGGGUCUCCACGAGUUUUCGUAUCGGUAACGUUACGACGUAAAAAUAAGAGAGUAAACCACAGUGUCCACAGAGUUAAAAUGCGAAAGGCAAGAAGAAUUCGCAAUGUACUUCUAACAACCGCGAGCUUACGUGCCUAGCAUCACAAAUUCGUUUCUUUUAUUCUCCGUACAAAACACAUGUUUAGAUUUUUGACGUGUAUUUUUUAUUAAAUUUCGUUUUAAUUAA